RNAcentral lists this unclassified non-coding RNA (288 nucleotides) under uncultured fungus. Its description in RNAcentral is "partial contains small subunit ribosomal RNA, internal transcribed spacer 1, and 5.8S ribosomal RNA". The stretch from base 1 to 73 matches the Rfam family "Eukaryotic small subunit ribosomal RNA", at positions 1759 to 1831 of the family's 1831-position model. Lineage: Eukaryota; Fungi. The record is from RNAcentral.
GCAAACUUGGUCAUUUAGAGGAAGUAAACGUCGUAACAAGGUUUCCGUAGGUGAACCUGCGGAAGGAUCGUUAAAAAAUAACACUGCUAUAUCUACCUUGUGUGCAAACAAUGGAAAGAGAAAAUGGAAUUCAGAACACUUUUUCUUUGGGGAAAGUGUUACCUAAUUCUCUAUAAUUUUUAUAAAUACCAUCAAAAAUUAAUUAAAAAAUGAAAUAUUUUUAAUUAAAAAUAUUAUACAACUUUCAACAACGGAUCUCUUGGCUCUCGCAUCGAUGAAGAACGCAGC